This 253-nucleotide ribosomal RNA is filed under the name uncultured bacterium. RNAcentral's name for it is "partial 16S ribosomal RNA". It matches the Rfam family "Bacterial small subunit ribosomal RNA", at positions 524 to 776 of the family's 1533-position model. The record is from RNAcentral.
UACGGAGGGUGCAAGCGUUAUCCGGAUUCACUGGGCUUAAAGGGUGCGUAGGUGGGCAGGUAAGUCAGUGGUGAAAUCUCCGGGCUUAACCCGGAAACUGCCAUUGAUACUAUCUGUCUUGAAUACCGUGGAGGUGAGCGGAAUAUGUCAUGUAGCGGUGAAAUGCUUAGAUAUGACAUAGAACACCAAUUGCGAAGGCAGCUCACUACACGAAUAUUGACACUGAGGCACGAAAGCGUGGGGAUCAAACAGG